Molecule: ribosomal RNA, 2120 nt
Filed under: Acinetobacter rudis CIP 110305
Lineage: Bacteria; Pseudomonadati; Pseudomonadota; Gammaproteobacteria; Moraxellales; Moraxellaceae
Description: bacterial LSU rRNA
Rfam family: Bacterial large subunit ribosomal RNA
Source: RNAcentral
GAAAGGCUAAUCAAACUCGGUGAUAGCUGGUUCUCCCCGAAAGCUAUUUAGGUAGCGCCUCGGACGAAUACCAUUGGGGGUAGAGCACUGUUUCGGCUAGGGGGUCAUCCCGACUUACCAAACCGAUGCAAACUCCGAAUACCAAUGAGUACUAUCCGGGAGACAGACUGCGGGUGCUAACGUCCGUAGUCAAGAGGAAAACAAUCCAGACCGCCAGCUAAGGCCCCAAAAUCAUAGUUAAGUGGGAAACGAUGUGGGAAGGCAUAGACAGCUAGGAGGUUGGCUUAGAAGCAGCCACCCUUUAAAGAAAGCGUAAUAGCUCACUAGUCGAGUCGGCCUGCGCGGAAGAUGUAACGGGGCUAAAACUAUGUGCCGAAGCUGCGGAUGUAUACUUUGUAUACGUGGUAGGGGAGCGUUCUGUAAGCCGAUGAAGGUGGAUUGAGAAGUCUGCUGGAGGUAUCAGAAGUGCGAAUGCUGACGUGAGUAACGACAAAACGGGUGAAAAACCCGUUCGCUGAAAGACCAAGGGUUCCAGUCCAACGUUAAUCGGGGCUGGGUGAGUCGACCCCUAAGGCGAGGCCGAAAGGCGUAGUCGAUGGGAAAUUGGUUAAUAUUCCAAUACUUCUGUGUAAUGCGAUGAGAGGACGGAGAAGGUUAAGUCAGCCUGGCGUUGGUUGUCCAGGUGAAAGACAGUAGGCAUGCAUCUUAGGCAAAUCCGGGGUGCUCUAUGCUGAGAGUCGAUAGCAAGCUAGUUUACUAGCGAAGUGGCUGAUACCCUGCUUCCAGGAAAAGUCUCUAAGCUUCAGUUACACAGGAAUCGUACCCGAAACCGACACAGGUGGUCAGGUCGAGUAGACCAAAGCGCUUGAGAGAACUCUGCUGAAGGAACUAGGCAAAAUGGUACCGUAACUUCGGGAGAAGGUACGCUGCUGACGGUGAUGGGAUUUACUCCCUGAGCGGUUGGCAGCCUCAGAAACCAGGCCGCUGCAACUGUUUAUUAAAAACAUAGCACUCUGCAAACACGAAAGUGGACGUAUAGGGUGUGAUGCCUGCCCGGUGCUGGAAGGUUAAUUGAUGGGGUUAGCGUAAGCGAAGCUCUUGAUCGAAGCCCCAGUAAACGGCGGCCGUAACUAUAACGGUCCUAAGGUAGCGAAAUUCCUUGUCGGGUAAGUUCCGACCUGCACGAAUGGCAUAAUGAUGGCGGCGCUGUCUCCAGCAGAGGCUCAGUGAAAUCGAAAUCGCCGUGAAGAUGCGGUGUACCCGCGGCUAGACGGAAAGACCCCGUGAACCUUUACUGCAGCUUGACAUUGAACUUUGAUCUUACUUGUGUAGGAUAGGUGGGAGGCUUUGAAGUAGUGACGCCAGUUACUAUGGAGCCAUCCUUGAAAUACCACCCUGGUAAUAUUGAGGUUCUAACUCUGUCCCGUUAUCCGGGACGAGGACCAUGUCUGGUGGGUAGUUUGACUGGGGCGGUCUCCUCCUAAAGAGUAACGGAGGAGUACGAAGGUGCGCUCAGCGUGGUCGGAAAUCACGCGUAGAGUAUAAAGGCAAAAGCGCGCUUAACUGCGAGACCAACAAGUCGAGCAGGUACGAAAGUAGGUCUUAGUGAUCCGGUGGUUCUGUAUGGAAGGGCCAUCGCUCAACGGAUAAAAGGUACUCUGGGGAUAACAGGCUGAUACCGCCCAAGAGUUCAUAUCGACGGCGGUGUUUGGCACCUCGAUGUCGGCUCAUCUCAUCCUGGGGCUGAAGCAGGUCCCAAGGGUAUGGCUGUUCGCCAUUUAAAGAGGUACGCGAGCUGGGUUUAGAACGUCGUGAGACAGUUCGGUCCCUAUCUACCGUGGGCGCUGGAAAUUUGAGAGGAUCUGCUCCUAGUACGAGAGGACCAGAGUGGACGAACCUCUGGUGUACCGGUUGUGACGCCAGUCGCAUCGCCGGGUAGCUAUGUUCGGAAGGGAUAACCGCUGAAAGCAUCUAAGCGGGAAGCCUACCUCAAGAUUAGAUUUCCCAAGGAAUUUAUUCCUCUAAAGAUCCGUUCGAGACUAGGACGUUGAUAGGUUGGAUGUGGAAGCAUAGUGAUAUGUGUAGCUGACCAAUACUAAUUGAUCGUGAGGCUUGACUAU